CCCUUAGAUGUUCUGGGCUGCACGCGUGCUACACUGAUUACUUCAACAAGUGUUUUAACUGGAGAGUUCGCGUAAUCCUGAAAUGUUAUCGUGAUGGGAGUAGAGUAUUGUAUUUGUUAAUCUUUAACGAGGAAUUCCUAGUAAGUGUAGGCUUAUAAGUUGUUCUGAUUACGUCCCUGCCCUUUGUACACACCGCCCGUCGCUCCUACCGAUUGAUUGAUCCGGUGAAUUACAUAGAAUUUUGCGUUUUACAUGACGGAAGAUGAAGUGUUUUAAACCUUAUCAUUUAGAGGAAGGAGAAGUCGUAACA
Molecule: ribosomal RNA, 310 nt
Filed under: uncultured eukaryote
Lineage: Eukaryota
Description: partial 18S ribosomal RNA
Rfam family: Eukaryotic small subunit ribosomal RNA
Source: RNAcentral